This 64-nucleotide transfer RNA is filed under the name Cavia porcellus (domestic guinea pig). It matches the Rfam family "tRNA". Rfam says of the family: Transfer RNA (tRNA) molecules are approximately 80 nucleotides in length. Their secondary structure includes four short double-helical elements and three loops (D, anti-codon, and T loops). Lineage: Eukaryota; Metazoa; Chordata; Mammalia; Rodentia; Caviidae. The record is from Rfam by way of RNAcentral.
AGGGAUUUAGCUCAGCGGCAUAAGCGCCUGCCUUGCAAGCAGGCAGUCGUGAAUUCAAUCCCUG